Molecule: ribosomal RNA, 35 nt
Filed under: Candida albicans
Lineage: Eukaryota; Fungi; Ascomycota; Pichiomycetes; Serinales; Debaryomycetaceae
Description: partial 18S ribosomal RNA
Source: RNAcentral
UACUUCCGUAGGGUGAACCUGCGGAAGGAUCAUUA